GCAAGUCUGGUGCCAGCAGCCGCGGUAAUUCCAGCUCCAAUAGCGUAUAUUAAAGUUGUUGCAGUUAAAAAGCUCGUAGUUGAACCUUGGGCCUGGCUGGCCGGUCCGCCUCACCGCGUGUACUGGUCCGGCCGGGUCUUUCCCUCUGGGGAUCGCCGUGCCCUUUACUGGGCGCGCGCGGGAACCAGGACUUUUACUUUGAAAAAAUUAGAGUGUUCAAAGCAGGCCUAUGCUCGAAUACAUUAGCAUGGAAUAAUAGAAUAGGACGUGUGGCUCUAUUUUGUUGGUUUCUAGGACCGCCGUAAUGAUUAAUAGGGAUAGUCGGGGGCAUCAGUAUUCAAUUGUCAGAGGUGAAAUUCUUGGAUUUAUUGAAGACUAACUACUGCGAAAGCAUUUGCCAA
This 401-nucleotide ribosomal RNA is filed under the name uncultured fungus. Its description in RNAcentral is "SSU rRNA". It matches the Rfam family "Eukaryotic small subunit ribosomal RNA", at positions 555 to 961 of the family's 1831-position model. The record is from RNAcentral. Lineage: Eukaryota; Fungi.